RNAcentral lists this ribosomal RNA (465 nucleotides) under Vreelandella stevensii. Its description in RNAcentral is "partial 16S ribosomal RNA". It matches the Rfam family "Bacterial small subunit ribosomal RNA", at positions 338 to 795 of the family's 1533-position model. The record is from RNAcentral. Lineage: Bacteria; Pseudomonadati; Pseudomonadota; Gammaproteobacteria; Oceanospirillales; Halomonadaceae.
CCUACGGGUGGCUGCAGUGGGGAAUAUUGGACAACGGGGGGAACCCUGAUCCAGCCAUGCCGCGUGUGUGAAGAAGGCCCUCGGGUUGUAAAGCACUUUCAGUGAGGAAGAACGCCUGGUGGUUAAUACCCAUCAGGAAAGACAUCACUCACAGAAGAAGCACCGGCUAACUCCGUGCCAGCAGCCGCGGUAAUACGGAGGGUGCGAGCGUUAAUCGGAAUUACUGGGCGUAAAGCGCGCGUAGGUGGCUUGAUAAGCCGGUUGUGAAAGCCCCGGGCUCAACCUGGGAACGGCAUCCGGAACUGUCAAGCUAGAGUGCAGGAGAGGAAGGUAGAAUUCCCGGUGUAGCGGUGAAAUGCGUAGAGAUCGGGAGGAAUACCAGUGGCGAAGGCGGCCUUCUGGACUGACACUGACACUGAGGUGCGAAAGCGUGGGUAGCAAACAGGAUUAGAUACCCGAGUAGUC